UACGUAGGUGGCAAGCGUUGUCCGGAAUUAUUGGGCGUAAAGCGCGCGCAGGCGGCCUCCUAAGUCCGAUGUGAAAGCCCACGGCUCAACCGUGGAGGGUCAUUGGAAACUGGGGGACUUGAGUGCAGGAGAGAAGAGUGGAAUUCCACGUGUAGCGGUGAAAUGCGUAGAGAUGUGGAGGAACACCAGUGGCGAAGGCGGCUAUCUGGACGGUUUCUGACGCUAAGACGCGAAAGCGUGGGGAGCAAACAGG
RNAcentral lists this ribosomal RNA (253 nucleotides) under uncultured bacterium. Its description in RNAcentral is "partial 16S ribosomal RNA". It matches the Rfam family "Bacterial small subunit ribosomal RNA", at positions 524 to 776 of the family's 1533-position model. The record is from RNAcentral.